AGGUGUCGCAAGACUCAAUAGGGAAGCCGGUCAAAGUCCGGCGCGGUCCCGCCACUGUAACAGCGAGUGCACUGCAGAAGAUAUGUCACUGGAGAUGGAAAAGCAUCUUUGGGAAGGCGCAGCAGCACGAAGAACUGGAGCCAGGAGAACUGCCUGAUUG
Molecule: non-coding RNA, 160 nt
Filed under: uncultured Selenomonas sp.
Lineage: Bacteria; Bacillati; Bacillota; Negativicutes; Selenomonadales; Selenomonadaceae
Source: RNAcentral